AAAGUUAGGUUUUGGGUCGGUGAUGCAGAAAAUAUAUGAUUUUGAUAACCCAAUUUUACGUAUUUCAAAAUUAAUAAUGUAAUUAAAAAAUAUUUGGAGAAUCAUGCACUUUCAGCUUAUGUGUAUUUUAAUGCCAAAAAUACCCUUCACCUUGCCAGCUAAGUGUUCCACAUCUGAAAAUUCAGAAGAGAAAAAACCCUCCGAAAAGCCACAAAGCCAAUAUCUCUCUCAUAUACUGCUUUUCCCAUUCUCAAUCUCAGAAACCCAAAAUGAUGUAAAACCUAACCUCUUUCAUUUCUGUAACAUUCUCGUCUCCCAUUUUGUUGAUAAACAUCAACAGCCCAAAACCUAACUUUCCCAAAAAAAAAGUUAUAAUGCUGCAGAGGAGAAGAAUUUAUCAGGUGGAUGUGUUGGUAAAUGAGAAAAGAAUCAGAAGGAAGAGACACGGGACUACGGGAGGAAACCGGGAAAGGUGAUAUCCUUUUUGUUCCCAAAUUACUUGAUCCAGAAACCCUAAUUUCUGAAACGAAGAUCAGAUCCGGGGAAAAUUGGUGAUCGGAAUCAAUGGUGGGUGCAUCGAGCUCAUGGUCUCGCGCACUGGUUCAAAUCUCACCUUACACCUUCUCCGCCAUCGGCGUUUCCGUCUUGGGUGCCGCUUGUGAACAAAAAGGUUUCAGCUAACAAAUUGAAACAACAGGCGGUCAAGGCUUCCUACAAACAUGAAAGGCAAAAAUAUGCUGAAACUUCUCAAUCAAUACCUUCUUAUUCUUGCCCAAAUGGGGGUAUUAUUUCUUCUCAUUAUUUUCCUUGUUAAUUUGGUUACAAUUGAAGUGCAUUGCAUUAGUAUUGAGUCCAUAGUUUUGAUUCUUAUUCCAUUGGUUUUGAACUUUGAAGUUUAUUUAGACAAUGUAACUUGUCCAAAAAAAAAAUAGUGGAAAGUUCAAAAUUCUGAACCAUGUUUACUUCAUCCUGGAGAUCCUCCUAGAAGACUAAUUUUCACCCAAAUGAUUAGAUGUUGUCAAAUAUUAUUUGACUAUGUGGCUUAUUUCUACAGGUGCGGCCUUAUAAACUGUGGAUUGAAAUGGAAAAUAUUGAGAAAGGGAUUGUAGAAAUCAUUGCUCAGAAUAAUAUAAAAUGGCUUGUUAUGGGAGCUGCAGCAGAUAAAUAUUAUUCAAAAAUCAAUGUUGCUCUGGCGCUUCAAAAUAUGUGAUACAUGUAGAGGGUUAUGGAUUGUGAGCUAUCAAUGGGAGCAUCCAUCAAAGAAAAGAGGAACACAUUCCUAGUAUACAGGAAGUUCCACAGUAUACUUUCUUAAUUUGUUCCUCUUUUGAAUGAUAUCUCAAAACAAGCAAAGCACUCACAUUGCAUAUGCUAUGUUGUUUUAACAAAUCAUUUACCCAAGCUAUGAAAAAAAAAACAAAAGGAAAAUCGGAUGCUUUGAUAAUUUAGCCAUGUCUUUAUAUUUGAGGAUUAGAUGAAUUGAUACCUAAACACAUUGGAGAUUGAUCAAACUUAUGUAUCUAAUUGAGAAACUUAUUGGUGUUAGAAUUAUAUAAUCUUAUUGUGAACCUUUUAUAUCAUUGCCUUCUAACUAGAUAGCUUCAUCCUCUUAGUUAUUUAAUAUUUUAUAAGAACGAAUUCUUUAAAAGAAUUUGAAGACUGUAGCAUGUAACAGCAUGAUUGAGAAUGAAAAUUUCAGCAAAAGGAAGAAAAUGUUUAUUUAAAGUUAAGUCGCUUGUUGUCGUGAUUUUAACUCAAGGCAUUAGCUUUGGUAUGUGCCUGUGCAAUUAAUUAUAAUUAAGGUAUUGUUUUUAUGCUGAUAACAUUAAAAUGCCAUGAUAACCUUAAAAUGUGCAUAUAUCAAAAUAGGUAAAACUUAUACCAAUUUAAUUGAAC
This is a long non-coding RNA of Vitis vinifera (wine grape), 1896 nucleotides long. RefSeq lists it as uncharacterized. The record is from RefSeq and is a predicted model, not a curated record. The transcript has 3 exons. NCBI's taxonomy places the organism in Eukaryota, Viridiplantae, Streptophyta, Magnoliopsida, Vitales, Vitaceae.